CCUACGGGGGGCAGCAGUGGGGAAUAUUGGGCAAUGGGCGCAAGCCUGACCCAGCAACGCCGCGUGAAGGAAGAAGGCUUUCGGGUUGUAAACUGCUUUUAUAAGCGAGAAAUAUGAUGGUAACUUAUGAAUAAGGAUCGGCUAACUACGUGCCAGCAGCCGCGGUCAUACGUAGGAUCCGAGCAUUAUCCGGAGUGACUGGGUGUAAAGAGUUGCGUAGGUGGCAUAAUAAGUAGCUAGUGAAAUCUGGUGGCUCAACCAUUCAGACUAUUAGCUAAACUGUUAAGCUCGAGACCGUUAGGGGUAACUGGAAUUUCUAGUGUAGGAGUGAAAUCCGUAGAUAUUAGAAGGAACACCAAUAGCGUAGGCAGGUUGCUGGGACGGUUCUGACACUAAGGCACGAAAGCGUAGGGAGCAAACGGGAUUAGAUACCCGGGUAGUC
Molecule: ribosomal RNA, 442 nt
Filed under: uncultured bacterium
Lineage: Bacteria
Description: partial 16S ribosomal RNA
Rfam family: Bacterial small subunit ribosomal RNA
Source: RNAcentral